This is a long non-coding RNA of Rosa chinensis, 766 nucleotides long. RefSeq lists it as uncharacterized. The record is from RefSeq and is a predicted model, not a curated record. NCBI's taxonomy places the organism in Eukaryota, Viridiplantae, Streptophyta, Magnoliopsida, Rosales, Rosaceae. The transcript is spliced from 4 exons.
CAGAAUUCCCAUUUAGUUAGGAUAUUGAUUAUUAUUUAUCUUGUGUAGUGGCAUAGUGCUUGAGGAAUAAACCUUUAGUUUCCAAUUGCAGUCAAUCACUUUAUUUAAUAAUAAAUUGCAGUUUUGUUAGGUUUUCAUUUUUAGGAUUCUCAUAUGUAUUUAAGUUGUGGCUUACCUUAUAAUGAUUCAAUCUACAUAUGCAUGGUGGUUUUUGUCUCUUCUGGCAGGGUAGGGGAUAGGCAAUGCUAGGAAUUAAUGCUCAGAAUUAGGAAUUGAAGGGAUUUUAUUCCUUGUACAAAAAUAUAUGAACUGGCUCUUCAAUUUUAUGUUGCUGGGGAUUGCUAGGAAGUAAAAAAUGUAUGAUAGGAGAUUUGGAGUUCGCUAGAAAAGCUCUGCCCGCAUGAUCAAAGAACACGAAUUCUGGAAUUCAGGUACUCAUAUGGUAGUUAUUCAGGAUUUGUAAUCACACUUUAAGUAGAUAUUAUGCAAUGUGGAACCAACCCAGGCCUGAUUCUUCAACCACUGACAAGGAACUUGCUUCUAUGAUCGAGAGUGUUUCCGAGAAACAACAUUUUACCGCAAAAUGACUUCAACUGCCGAGACUGGAUGGGAUUUUAGUACAAGAUGGAUGAGGAGCCAUAUAUGUAGGAGUGGACUGAGCAAUUGGAAAGUAGUGACCGAUUUAUGUAGGAGCCAUAUAUGUAGCAGCUGCAUAUGUGCAUAUUUUUGGAACAAGUAUAUAUUGUAUCUGCUUUUGUUGUUUAUC